AUCCAGCUGGCAAGUCCCAAAUAGGACGAAAUGCGCCUUAUCCUGGAU
This 48-nucleotide non-coding RNA is filed under the name Trichobilharzia regenti. Lineage: Eukaryota; Metazoa; Platyhelminthes; Trematoda; Strigeidida; Schistosomatidae. The record is from RNAcentral.